Molecule: ribosomal RNA, 631 nt
Filed under: uncultured bacterium
Lineage: Bacteria
Description: bacterial SSU rRNA
Rfam family: Bacterial small subunit ribosomal RNA
Source: RNAcentral
GAGUUUGAUCCUGGCUCAGAGCGAACGCUGGCGGCACGCUUUACACAUGCAAGUCGAGCGAGAAAGCGGCUUCGGUCGCAAGUAUAGCGGCGGACGGGUGCGUAUAACGUGGAUAACCUGCCUUAAGGACCGGGACAACCUUGGGAAACCAAGGCUAAUACCGGAUAUGACCACGAUGUCUGAGGGCAACGGGGUAAAAGAUGACCGUUUACGGUUGUCGCCUUUUGAGGGGUCCACGUCCUAUCAGGUAGUUGGUGGGGUAAAGGCCUACCAAGCCAAAGACGGGUAGCCGGCCUUAGCGGGUGAUCGGCCACACGGGGACUGAGACACGGCCCGACUCCUACGGGAGGCAGCAGUGGGGAAUAUUGGGCAAUGGGCGAAAGCCUGACCCAGCGAUGCCGCGUGAGGGAAGAAGGCCUUCGGGUUGUAAACCUAUGUCAAGAGGGAAGAAGGGUCUGCAAAUUAACCUUGCGGGCUUGACUGUACCUCCAGAGGAAGCCCCGGCUAACUCCGUGCCAGCAGCCGCGGUAAUACGGACGGGGGGCAAGCGUUGCUCGGAAUUACUGGGCGUAACGAGUCCGAAGGUGGACUGCAGUNGAUGUGAAGCCGAGCUUAAUCCGGAUUGCUCCAA